This 473-nucleotide ribosomal RNA is filed under the name uncultured soil bacterium. RNAcentral describes it as "bacterial SSU rRNA". It matches the Rfam family "Bacterial small subunit ribosomal RNA", at positions 34 to 540 of the family's 1533-position model. The record is from RNAcentral.
AGGAUGAACGCUGGCGGAGUGCCUAAUACAUGCAAGUCGAGCGGCAACGCGAGUAGUUUACUACUUGGCGGCGAGCGGCGGACGGCUGAGUAACGCGUGGGAACGUGCCCCAAAGUGAGGAAUAACUGCCCGAAAGGGUAGCUAAUGCCGCAUAUGAUCUUCGGAUUAAAGGAUUUAUCCGCUUUGGGAGCGGCCCGCGUCAGAUUAGGUAGUUGGUGAGGUAAAGGCUCGACCAAGCCGACGAUCUGUAGCUGAUCUGAGAGGAUGAUCAGCCAGACUGGGACUGAGACACGGCCCAGACUCCUACGGGAGGCAGCAGUAAGGAAUCUUCCACAAUGGACGAAAGUCUAGAUGGAGCAACUCCGCGUGCAGGAUGAAGGCCUUACGGUGUAAACUGCUUUUAUUGUGAAGAAUAUAGACGGUAACAAAUGAAUAAGGUCGGUACUAACCGUACGUAGACCAAGCGAAGCCGC